Molecule: non-coding RNA, 24 nt
Filed under: Drosophila melanogaster (fruit fly)
Lineage: Eukaryota; Metazoa; Arthropoda; Insecta; Diptera; Drosophilidae
Source: RNAcentral
UAGACCGUAAAUGAAAAGCUGAGA